GUGUCAGCAGCCGCGGUAAUACGUAGGGGGCAAGCGUUGUCCGGAAUCAUUGGGCGUAAAGCGCGCGUAGGCGGCCCUGUAAGUCCGUUGUGAAAGUCGAAGGCUCAACCUUCGAAAGCCGAUGGAUACUGCAGGGCUAGAGUCCGGAAGAGGCGAGUGGAAUUCCUGGUGUAGCGGUGGAAUGCGCAGAUAUCAGGAGGAACACCAAUAGCGAAGGCAGCUCGCUGGGACGGUACUGACGCUAAGGCGCGAAAGCGUGGGGAGCGAACAGGAUUAGAAACCCCAGUAGUCC
RNAcentral lists this ribosomal RNA (292 nucleotides) under uncultured bacterium. RNAcentral's name for it is "partial 16S ribosomal RNA". It matches the Rfam family "Bacterial small subunit ribosomal RNA", at positions 505 to 796 of the family's 1533-position model. The record is from RNAcentral.